This 497-nucleotide ribosomal RNA is filed under the name uncultured bacterium. Its description in RNAcentral is "partial 16S ribosomal RNA". It matches the Rfam family "Bacterial small subunit ribosomal RNA", at positions 28 to 507 of the family's 1533-position model. The record is from RNAcentral.
GAUGAACGCUGGCGGCGUGCCUAAUACAUGCAAGUCGAGCGAACAGACGAGGAGCUUGCUCCUCUGACGUUAGCGGCGGACGGGUGAGUAACACGUGGAUAACCUACCUAUAAGACUGGGAUAACUUCGGGAAACCGGAGCUAAUACCGGAUAAUAUAUUAAACCGCAUGGUUCAAUAGUGAAAGACGGUUUUGCUGUCACUUAUAGAUGGAUCCGCGCCGCAUUAGCUAGUUGGUAAGGUAACGGCUUACCAAGGCAACGAUGCGUAGCCGACCUGAGAGGGUGAUCGGCCACACUGGAACUGAGACACGGUCCAGACUCCUACGGGAGGCAGCAGUAGGGAAUCUUCCGCAAUGGGCGAAAGCUUGACGGAGCAACGCCGCGUGAGUGAUGAAGGUCUUCGGAUCGUAAAACUCUGUUAUUAGGGAAGAACAAAUGUGUAAGUAACUAUGCACGUCUUGACGGUACCUAAUCAGAAAGCCACGGCUAACUACGUG